AACGCGAAGAACCUUACCUGGGUUUGACAUGCACAGGACGCUGGUAGAGAUAUCAGUUCCCUUGUGGUCUGUGUGCAGGUGGUGCAUGGCUGUCGUCAGCUCGUGUCGUGAGAUGUUGGGUUAAGUCCCGCAACGAGCGCAACCCUUGUCUCAUGUUGCCAGCGGGUAAUGCCGGGGACUCGUGAGAGACUGCCGGGGUCAACUCGGAGGAAGGUGGGGAUGACGUCAAGUCAUCAUGCCCCUUAUGUCCAGGGCUUCACACAUGCUACAAUGGCCGGUACAAAGGGCUGCGAUGCCGUGAGGUUAAGCGAAUCCUUUAAAAGCCGGUCUCAGUUCGGAUCGGGGUCUGCAACUCGACCCCGUGAAGUCGGAGUCGCUAGUAAUCGCAGAUCAGCAACGCUGCGGUGAAUACGUUCCCGGGCCUUGUA
RNAcentral lists this ribosomal RNA (428 nucleotides) under uncultured Actinomycetes bacterium. RNAcentral's name for it is "bacterial SSU rRNA". It matches the Rfam family "Bacterial small subunit ribosomal RNA", at positions 958 to 1385 of the family's 1533-position model. Lineage: Bacteria; Bacillati; Actinomycetota; Actinomycetes. The record is from RNAcentral.